CGGGUGUCUUUCUGCAUGCAAUGAAUGUACACAGUGAUGGCUGGGCCUGUACAGUAGCCCAGAUUUAUGAACUUCAAACCCAGAUCCAGACCCUUGGAAUGGGUCAAAUCCAAAUCCUCUGAUCCAAAUAGGCUGGGAUUUCCGGGUGCUGCUGGCAGGCCAGAUCUCACUCUGCAUUCCGUGGCCUGAUCUCCUCUCUAGCCGAGUCUGAAGCGUACUGCGAGAUGUCACACCAAGCUUUGUGCUGUAGAAAGCCUCAGGUAGUGCCCCGAUAGUCUCUCCAGCGCGUGCCGUGGGGUAGCUGACUAGCCCUAGAGUAUUACUUGUAAAUUUUAAGUUUAAUUUAAAAAAAACCCUGACCCCUCAAUGAGUUUUCAUUUUAAAGCAACGUAUCGAUCUUCACUAGAAAAGCGAGCGCUCCCAGCAGAGAUGAGAGCGUGAGCAGCUGAGGAGGAAGUGGUCAGAAACCUCUCAUUUCCCUGCAUGUUUGACCAUAUUUUGUUCUAAUUUCUAACCAUCUCUUCCCCUUUUGGGUUUUCUUCCCCUAGUGCCCAUUCCCAUAAGUCUUCCACUUGCAGCGAUGGGCUGGCAGGCACUUUAAACGCUCGCUCCGUGAACGCUCAGCUGGGAGCUCUGGGACAAGCCUGGUUUAUUGAGGCUUUUAAAUAAGGCUUGAACAUGACACAGACAGAGGCCACCAGCUGCUGCAGACGGGGCAGCAUUUUGCUAUUGCUACUUUUUCCCCUCCUCUAGCUGCCCCUCCCGCCGUCCUGGGCCUCCUUAAUCAACUUGCCAUUCUAGUUUAAGUCCUGAGUUGGGAGCUCUCUGCAGCUCCGGUUCACCUCAGAGCAACCCAGCUACCUCCUGAGAGCAGCUCAACUCUGCAGCGGGGAAACGGUGGUUUCUCUGUGACAUGCUGCUUCAGGAGAGCGUCGGAGCAUCUCCUCAUGCAGGAUGCACUGAACUCUCCAUCCUCCCACUCAUAGGGACUCCUCUAGCAGAGUUGAACAAAGGGCCUGCUCUCCACGCCGGCUAAUCAGGUCCUGUUGGGAGCCGAGCCAGGUGUCUUGCUGCUCUCCCCCUCCUGGAGGUUGGUUGGCCUUGCCCAGGGGAGUUGCCGCCUCCUGUCUCUGGUGGCAGUUUCCUCCUCAGGGGCUGCGUAG
This 1163-nucleotide long non-coding RNA is filed under the name Chrysemys picta bellii (western painted turtle). RNAcentral describes it as "lncRNA (ENSCPBG00000025987.1)". The record is from RNAcentral. Lineage: Eukaryota; Metazoa; Chordata; Testudines; Emydidae.